Molecule: ribosomal RNA, 486 nt
Filed under: uncultured bacterium
Lineage: Bacteria
Description: partial 16S ribosomal RNA
Rfam family: Bacterial small subunit ribosomal RNA
Source: RNAcentral
ACUCAAAUGAAUUGACGGGGGCUCGCACAAGCGGUGGAUCAUGUGGCUUAAUUCGUAGCUAAGCGAAGAACCUUACCAAGGCUAGAAAUCUUACUGCACGCCCCGGGAAACCGGGGAAGCCUUCGAGGGUGUAAGACAGGUGAUGCAUGGCCGUCGUCAGUUCGUGGCUUGAGCUGUUCCCUUAAGUGGGGAAACGAACGCAACCCUCGUUGCCUGUUAUAAGUGUCAGGCGAGACUGCUCCCUCACGGGAGAGGAAGGUGAGGAUGACGCCAGGUCAGCAUGUCCCUUGAUGCCUUGGGCUGCACACGUGAUACAAUGGGUAGUACAACGGGACGCAAUACGGUAACGUGGAGCAAAUCCUUAUAAAACUAUCCUCAGUUCGGAUUGAGGUCUGCAACUCGACCUCAUGAAGUUGGAAUCGCUAGUAAUCGUGAAUCAGCAACGUCACGGUGAAUACGUUCCCGAGCCUUGUACACACCGCCCGU